RNAcentral lists this unclassified non-coding RNA (21 nucleotides) under synthetic construct. The record is from RNAcentral.
CCCAUACUUGAACUGCUUCUU